Molecule: non-coding RNA, 30 nt
Filed under: Mus musculus (house mouse)
Lineage: Eukaryota; Metazoa; Chordata; Mammalia; Rodentia; Muridae
Source: RNAcentral
UCCCACUCAUAGUAGAUUUAUUUUAAGUAG